Molecule: ribosomal RNA, 484 nt
Filed under: uncultured bacterium
Lineage: Bacteria
Description: partial 16S ribosomal RNA
Rfam family: Bacterial small subunit ribosomal RNA
Source: RNAcentral
AUUGAACGCUGGCGGCAGGCCUAACACAUGCAAGUCGAGCGGAUGAAGGGAGCUUGCUCCUGGAUUCAGCGGCGGACGGGUGAGUAAUGCCUAGGAAUCUGCCUGGUAGUGGGGGAUAACGUCUGGAAACGGGCGCUAAUACCGCAUACGUCCUGAGGGAGAAAGUGGGGGAUCUUCGGACCUCACGCUAUCAGAUGAGCCUAGGUCGGAUUAGCUAGUUGGUGGGGUAAAGGCCUACCAAGGCGACGAUCCGUAACUGGUCUGAGAGGAUGAUCAGUCACACUGGAACUGAGACACGGUCCAGACUCCUACGGGAGGCAGCAGUGGGGAAUAUUGGACAAUGGGCGAAAGCCUGAUCCAGCCAUGCCGCGUGUGUGAAGAAGGUCUUCGGAUUGUAAAGCACUUUAAGUUGGGAGGAGGGGCAGUAAGUUAAUACCUUGCUGUUUUGACGUUACCAACAGAAUAAGCACCGGCUAACUUCGUG